GUAUGAAGCAUUAAUCGUACUCUGGUCAGUAUUAUCAGAUCCCUCUACGGAUGGAAUUUCAGUUUGAGCUUCGAAAUUUAACGCAAAGCGCCUUCUUCGAGAUGCUGCCGGCCUUCCAGGGAAGUCCCUACGAGAGCUGCAAGGUGGCGUAGUCUCGUUUUGUCCUGGCUCUAUACCCAAUAGAGAAGAGUUAUUCAUUAGAUGGUCCCUACAACUUCUACUCCUAG
RNAcentral lists this unclassified non-coding RNA (227 nucleotides) under Hevea brasiliensis (rubber tree). The record is from RNAcentral. Lineage: Eukaryota; Viridiplantae; Streptophyta; Magnoliopsida; Malpighiales; Euphorbiaceae.